This 337-nucleotide ribosomal RNA is filed under the name uncultured archaeon. RNAcentral describes it as "partial 16S ribosomal RNA". It matches the Rfam family "Archaeal small subunit ribosomal RNA", at positions 133 to 475 of the family's 1478-position model. The record is from RNAcentral.
CGGGAAACUGGGGAUAAUACCCCAUAGCCCAGGGACGCUGGAAUGCCUCCUGGUCCAAAGGUCCGCCGCCUGAGGAUGGGUCUGCGGUCGAUUAGGUUGUUGUUGGGGUAACGGCCCAACAAGCCUUUGAUCGAUACGGGUUGUGAGAGCAAGAGCCCGGAGAUGGAUUCUGAGACACGAAUCCAGGCCCUACGGGGCGCAGCAGGCGCGAAAACUUUACAAUGCGAGAAAUCGUGAUAAGGGAACCCCGAGUGCCCGUAAAUUCGGGCUGUCCGCCAGUGCAAAUAGCUGGGGAAGAAAGGGCCGGGCAAGACCGGUGACAGCCGCCGCGGUAACA